UACCUACGGGACGCAGCAGUGAGGAAUAUUGGUCAAUGGCCGGAAGGCUGAACCAGCCAAGCCGCGUGAAGGACGAAGGUGCCAAGCAUUGUAAACUUCUUUUGUCAAGGGACAAAAUCAGGCUCGAGAGCCUGACCGAGGGUACUUGAAGAAAAAGCAUCGGCUAACUCCGUGACGGCAGCCGCGGUAAUACGGAGGAUGCGAGCGUUAUCCGGAUUUAUUGGGUUUAAAGGGUGCGUAGGCGGACUGUUAAGUCAGCGGUAAAACUCCGGGGCACAACCCCGGCGCGCCGUUUAAACUGGCUG
This 305-nucleotide ribosomal RNA is filed under the name uncultured bacterium. RNAcentral describes it as "bacterial SSU rRNA". It matches the Rfam family "Bacterial small subunit ribosomal RNA", at positions 335 to 639 of the family's 1533-position model. The record is from RNAcentral.